CGCUCCGAGAGCUUCAUUAUUGUUGGGUGUCAUUUUAAUUUAGAUAAGGAGCGAGUAAUCUGUGUAAUGCCACUGAUGAGCUGCUCUGCGCAGGUCUGAUAUCUGUCAGCCUGAGAGCGGUGCACAGGAUUAUGGGAUUGAGGCCGUGUCGCUCUGAGCUGCUCAUCUAACAGGUGUUUUUGAUGAACAGGUGUUUGGAAAUUAACCCGUCCUUUAAUAGCAGGAGCUCUGACUGUGAUCUGAUGCUUUCUGGAAACUGAUUGGAUGAUUAAGAUGUAAAGGCGGAGUUCAGGGGUCAUAACAGUGAGGGCUAGAGAACAAGUCAAAUGAUCCAUCGAUGGAUCUGCUGGUGUGUCUGCGGCUCCUGCUGCGGGUCCAGUCCCUGCGGAUCUGACUCAACAUCACUCAUUCCUCUGUCAGCAGAUCGAUGAGACACGUCGGAAUGAUAAGUCGGCUGUGGUUUAAAGCGUGUUGAGAGAUGUCCUCCAGUCGGAUGAUGAAGAUGGACUCAUUACUAAAUGCAGAUCUGCGUUGCAGUUGCCAACUUAAACAAAUUCAUCUGCCAAUAAGCAUGAGGACCAGAGCCGUGCUGUAAGACUCAUCUCAUCUGCAGAUUAAUCAUGAUGAAUGUAAGAAAUGACAGUGCAUGUGGCCGCUGGCGGCUAGCAGUGAAGCAGACACUAAUGACACGCCAUUAAUUACCAAGACUAAUUGCAAAGACCUGGUCUGCAUCACCAUGACGACAGCGUCCUGCAGCACUGAAGUGUCUGCUUGUUCAUUAACACCUGGAAACUCACAAAUAUCCUGAACUAGAGAUCCUCUAACUGAAUGGGUUGUCAAUGUGUCGCUUUGCUAGGAUAGUUGGGUUAUGCAGUGUAGCUGUGCAACCAUAGCAACUAUAGAAUCACCACAACAGAUCAAUAACUAUAGUUAUUUCGUUAUUAUAACAACUUUAGAUUCACCACAACAGAUCAGUUACUCUAGUUGUUAUAUUACCAUAGCAACUAUAGAAUCACCGCAA
Danio rerio (zebrafish) is the source of this 1021-nucleotide non-coding RNA. NCBI's taxonomy places the organism in Eukaryota, Metazoa, Chordata, Actinopteri, Cypriniformes, Danionidae. The record is from RefSeq and is a predicted model, not a curated record.